GGAUGGACAAAUAUUUAUUCGCAAAUUUAAUAUUUCUCCGUCAGCAUCGUAUUCGGCUGCAAUGAUUAAAUUCGAAAAAUCGAAACUCAUUCAUGGUGAAAUACCACAUUGGAAAGCCAAGUUCAUUGAAAUUCAGCUUUUGAGUAACGUUAUUACAAUGACUAUAUUUUUGCCAAAUGAAGAGAUGAAAUCUGGACAUGACAGCCUGUUCUAUAUAUCAAAUAAAGUAAAUUUUAAUGAAUUUAAAUCAAUUAAAACUACAUACACAAACAAAUGUGAAGAUAGAGUUAUAUUUACCAAUGUUUACGAUUAAUUCAACUUUUGAUUUGAGAUUUAUAUUAUCUGGAUUAUUAUCACAGUCUAUCAAAAAUAAGAAAAGAAAUUCGGUAAAACCGCCGAAAAAAUUUAUUGUUCAGAUCAAUCGUUUAUGUAUAUAAUAGACAUAAACGGAAUGCAGAGGUUUCUGGAAGGGGUUUACAAUGCAGAUCACAUUACAUAUAAUAUAGAAAUAAAAGAAGAAUUAUAAACUAAUUUUUAUUUUAUUAUAUAGAUUAAAUAACAUUCUUAUGUUUAUUAUUAUCUUAUGUUUAUUUUACUACAUGCUUAUGUUUAUAUAUAAAGUUAAUAUCCCACAAUACAAUAUAGCUUAAAUUAUUUUUAAUUUUAUUAUCUAUAUAAAAUUCAUUAAUAAAUAAAUAAUCUGUAGUUUGAAAGUGUGUUAUAGUCAUUUUCUGAUCUAUUUACUUAUUGCUUAAAGGAAGCCAAAAUUAUUUGCACUCAUAUGUAUUAGGUGUAAGAAAAUAAUUAAUAUGCAUAUAUACAAUUAAGCAAAUAUGUAACUAUAAUUAUAUAAUAUA
Long non-coding RNA from Cataglyphis hispanica, 857 nucleotides. RefSeq lists it as uncharacterized. Lineage: Eukaryota; Metazoa; Arthropoda; Insecta; Hymenoptera; Formicidae. The record is from RefSeq and is a predicted model, not a curated record. The transcript is spliced from 3 exons.